UACAGAGGCCUCAAGCGUUAGGCGGAAUCACUGGGCUUAAAGCGCGUGUAGGUGGACUUUUAAGUGCUUUGUGAAAUCCCACGGCUCAACCGUGGAACUGCUGGGCAUACUGGAAGUCUUGGGCCAUCCAGGGGCAACCGGAACAAGCGGUGGAGCGGUGAAAUGCGUAGAUAUCGCUUGGAACGCCAAAGGUGAAGACAGGUUGCUGGAGAUGUGCCGACACUGAGACGCGAAAAGCCAGGGGGAGCAAAACGGG
This 256-nucleotide ribosomal RNA is filed under the name uncultured bacterium. Its description in RNAcentral is "partial 16S ribosomal RNA". It matches the Rfam family "Bacterial small subunit ribosomal RNA", at positions 524 to 777 of the family's 1533-position model. The record is from RNAcentral.